This 100-nucleotide small nuclear RNA is filed under the name Sciurus vulgaris (Eurasian red squirrel). Lineage: Eukaryota; Metazoa; Chordata; Mammalia; Rodentia; Sciuridae. The record is from RNAcentral.
UUGCUUUAGCUGCACAUACAUGAAAUUUGAAACGAUACAAAGAUUUACAUGGCUCCUGCUGAAGGAUGACAUGCAAAAUUGUGAAUUGUUCCAUAUUUUA